This 301-nucleotide ribosomal RNA is filed under the name uncultured bacterium. Its description in RNAcentral is "partial 16S ribosomal RNA". It matches the Rfam family "Bacterial small subunit ribosomal RNA", at positions 509 to 807 of the family's 1533-position model. The record is from RNAcentral.
CAGUAGCCGCGGUAAUACGUAGGGUGCAAGCGUUGUCCGGAAUUAUUGGGCGUAAAGAGCUCGUAGGCGGUUUGUCGCGUCUGCUGUGAAAUCCCGAGGCUCAACCUCGGGCUUGCAGUGGGUACGGGCAGACUAGAGUGCGGUAGGGGAGAUUGGAAUUCCUGGUGUAGCGGUGGAAUGCGCAGAUAUCAGGAGGAACACCGAUGGCGAAGGCAGAUCUCUGGGCCGUAACUGACGCUGAGGAGCGAAAGCGUGGGGAGCGAACAGGAUUAGAUACCCCUGUAGUCCCUGUCUCUUAUAC